AGUGAACGCUGGCGGUAGGCCUAACACAUGCAAGUCGAACGGCAGCACAGUAAGAGCUUGCUCUUACGGGUGGCGAGUGGCGGACGGGUGAGGAAUACAUCGGAAUCUACUUUUUCGUGGGGGAUAACGUAUGGAAACUUACGCUAAUACCGCAUACGACCUACGGGUGAAAGCAGGGGAUCUUCGGACCUUGCGCGAUUGAAUGAGCCGAUGUCGGAUUAGCUAGUUGUCGGGGUAAAGGCCCACCAAGGCGACGAUCCGUAGCUGGUCUGAGAGGAUGAUCAGCCACACUGGAACUGAGACACGGUCCAGACUCCUACGGGAGGCAGAAGUGGGGAAUAUUGGACAAUGGGCGCAAGCCUGAUCAAGCCAUACCGCGUGGGUGAAGAAGGCCUUCGGGUUGUAAAGCCCUUUUGUUGGGAAAGAAAAGCAGCAGGUUAAUACCCCGCUGUUCUGACGGUACCAAAAGAAUAAGCACCGGCUAACUUCGUG
RNAcentral lists this ribosomal RNA (492 nucleotides) under uncultured bacterium. RNAcentral describes it as "partial 16S ribosomal RNA". It matches the Rfam family "Bacterial small subunit ribosomal RNA", at positions 29 to 507 of the family's 1533-position model. The record is from RNAcentral.